GAGGGUCUAGCUCGGUGGUAGAGCACGUGCUUAGUAAGCACAAGGUCCUGGUUUCAAUCCCCAGUACCUCCA
This 72-nucleotide transfer RNA is filed under the name Camelus bactrianus (Bactrian camel). It matches the Rfam family "tRNA". From Rfam's summary of the family: Transfer RNA (tRNA) molecules are approximately 80 nucleotides in length. Their secondary structure includes four short double-helical elements and three loops (D, anti-codon, and T loops). Further hydrogen bonds mediate the characteristic L-shaped molecular structure. tRNAs have two regions of fundamental functional importance: the anti-codon, which is responsible for specific mRNA codon recognition, and the 3' end, to which the tRNAs corresponding amino acid is attached (by aminoacyl-tRNA synthetases). tRNAs cope with the degeneracy of the genetic code in two manners: having more than one tRNA (with a specific anti-codon) for a particular amino acid; and 'wobble' base-pairing, i.e. permitting non-standard base-pairing at the 3rd anti-codon position. Lineage: Eukaryota; Metazoa; Chordata; Mammalia; Artiodactyla; Camelidae. RNAcentral also lists the same sequence under 2 other names. The record is from Rfam by way of RNAcentral.